GCCCCAGUGGCCUAAUGGAUAAGGCAUCGGUCUCCUAAACCGGGGAUUGUGGGUUCGAGUCCCACCUGGGGUA
This 73-nucleotide transfer RNA is filed under the name Priapulus caudatus. RNAcentral's name for it is "tRNA-Arg". It matches the Rfam family "tRNA". From Rfam's summary of the family: Transfer RNA (tRNA) molecules are approximately 80 nucleotides in length. Their secondary structure includes four short double-helical elements and three loops (D, anti-codon, and T loops). Lineage: Eukaryota; Metazoa; Priapulida; Priapulimorpha; Priapulimorphida; Priapulidae. The record is from RNAcentral.